GCUGAAAGCGUGGUAGCGAACAGGAUUAGAUACCCUGGUAGUCCACGCCGUAAACGAUGAGUGCUAGGUUUAGGCCCUUUCCGGGGCUUAGUGCCGGAGCUAACGCAAUAAGCACUCCGCCUGGGGAGUACGACCGCAAGGUUGAAACUCAAAGGAAUUGACGGGGGCCCGCACAAGCGGUGGAGCAUGUGGUUUAAUUCGAAGCAACGCGAAGAACCUUACCAGGUCUUGACAUCCCGAUGCUAUUCUUAGAGAUAGGAAGUUACUUCGGUACAUCGGAGACAGGUGGUGCAUGGUUGUCGUCAGCUCGUGUCGUGAGAUGUUGGGUUAAGUCCCGCAACGAGCGCAACCCUUAUUGUUAGUUGCCAUCAUUAAGUUGGGCACUCUAGCGAGACUGCCGGUAAUAAACCGGAGGAAGGUGGGGAUGACGUCAAAUCAUCAUGCCCCUUAUGACCUGGGCUACACACGUGCUACAAUGGUCGGUACAACGAGUUGCGAGCCGGUGACGGCAAGCUAAUCUCUGAAAGCCGAUCUCAGUUCGGAUUGGAGGCUGCAACUCGCCUCCAUGAAGUCGGAAUCGCUAGUAAUCGCGAAUCAGCACGCCG
Molecule: ribosomal RNA, 605 nt
Filed under: uncultured bacterium
Lineage: Bacteria
Description: bacterial SSU rRNA
Rfam family: Bacterial small subunit ribosomal RNA
Source: RNAcentral